Long non-coding RNA from Ictalurus punctatus (channel catfish), 1070 nucleotides. Lineage: Eukaryota; Metazoa; Chordata; Actinopteri; Siluriformes; Ictaluridae. The record is from Ensembl.
CGUGGUUAAAACGUCACCCUUAUUAACUACAUGGCCAACGGGUGCUCUCCCUACCACAGUAUAAGUGGUUGUUUAUGUCUCCUAGAAUGUGUCACGGUUGAAAACACGCCCCUUCCUUUCGUUGCUAUGGACUUCAGAGGUAUCUUUAUUGCUUAGCUGUUCGAUGUUAGCAUUGUCCAUUUACCAUGCGAUUUACUUGUUUGUGUGACGUUGGGCUACCAAGACUGUGUGCAGGUGUGAUGUGCUGCUCACAAUCAGUGCGGUGUGCCGUCAAGGCUCCCAAAUGUGUAGCAUGGUAGUUUAACGUAGCUCCGGUUGGAGCGCCAGCUGUUGCCGUCACAACUAUUAAAGAAGCUAUCAUGAUUUUCGUAUGUAGCAUGGAGCUGAGUGCUUCCUGAGGCUGGGGGGAGUUCUUUGCUGCACUUUAGGCUUGACUCAAUUAAGGGUCGUUAUUAUUGUUGUGUUUAUUUGCAGUGAAUUUGGUGGGUAUGAUUCUGUACGGCUGAUUCUGAUUCGGUAUGAUUCUGUACGGUUUUUUGUACGGCUGGUGCUGUUGUACUAGCCUGCCCCUCAUACAGGAAGCCUCCGUCCUCAUAUGAUUGUUAACUUCCUCUUGUGAUUGUUUUAUUUGACCAAUGCCUGACUGCAUUGGAUGUUGUUUCUUUUAAAAUAAUUCUUGGCCAGUCUUUUUAACUUCAAAAUAAAAUGUAUUUUUGUAUGGAAACACAUGCCUGUUCUAAGUGGAAUGUACUUGCGUGUCUUUUAUUUGGGUUAUUUUCCCCGUUUUCUCGGGGUGGCGUAGUUGGUACAAAACGAAACAUAUGAGCCACAUGGAGCGUGGUUGUUGCGAAAAACUAGCCACAUUGCUACACGUGGCGUGGUCGGCAGGAUUUACGAGGAUACGAGCUACACUGCUACACUUACAAAAGUCUUUGUGACAGAAUUAUGUUUAAAAUGGUGCCAGUCGCAUCAUCCACACCCCUACUUGGCAUAUAGGAACGGGUCCAAGUUUGAAUGCGCUGUAUUCAUAAGCACGUCCUUCACAAUCUUCUCAAAUGAUUUCAUAAUCA